This is a non-coding RNA of Xyrichtys novacula (pearly razorfish), 1078 nucleotides long. NCBI's taxonomy places the organism in Eukaryota, Metazoa, Chordata, Actinopteri, Labriformes, Labridae. The record is from the annotation of a GenBank genome assembly.
GUUUUCACCCAGUGCUGUACAACGUGGGGUGCGGGUUCUACCGGGGCGAAGGUGGCCCAUGAUGUCGGGCUUUCUGGUAAGUUUGUUUGUUUAUUUAUUUCAGUGAGCAGACUUUUUUCUGAAAACACAGCAAACUGCCCCUGCUUGCCAGGCUACAUGUUUCAACAACAUGUGUGUGUGUGUCUUUGCAGUGGAUGUGUGCCGCAAGUGCUGGAAGGGGCUGCGGGAUGUCUACAUGAGGGAGAAAAGGAGGGAGGAGGAAGGUGGGAGAAGUGGGUCAGCGGCCUCCCAGCAGAGGAAACGGCGUUUCUCUGCGGUGAUGUCCUGCCUCGACCCCUUUAUUGCCCCGAGGGAGACUACCAGCAACAUGUCUCGGGAGGUCGAGGAAGAUGUCACUGUAGAAAAUGUUGCUUCUUCUGCUGGGAUGCCUGAAGAGCUGGAGGAAGCAGGCCCCUAAGGAGUGGAGCAUGGACUCUUUGACGGUUGGUUGAUGAGUGAAAAAGAUAGCAAAUAAAUUUGAGUCCCCUCAUGGUUUAAACACAUCAUUGUAGUCUAAUUUAAGAUGGACAGAUCAAAUCAUGCACAAAUAAUGUGUGAAAAUUUUUGAUUUGAAUUACAAUGUUGCCUGAUUGCAGAGGUUUGAUUUCAAACAUUUUUGUCACAAUUUUAACUUAAGAUAAGCCUGCGCCCUCUCCUGCUCCAGCUCCCUCUCCUGCUGCAGCUCCCUCUCCUGCUCCAGCUCCCUUGCCUUCUCCAGCUCCCUCGCCUUCUCCUGCCCCCUCGUCUUCUCCUGCUCCCUCACCUGCUCCACGGAGUGAUGCCUCGGGCCCCACUGCAGCCAGACCAAAAGGUAUUGAAAAGAAAUAUUAACCAUAUAUUCAAUGAAAUUGCUCAAGGUCAAAUUCACAGAAAUUAUUACAAAUAGUAACCGAUUAGUUUUUUUUUUAUGACAGGGAGGAAGAGGAGGACGUCUCCCACUUCCAGGUUGGAAGACAUCGAGGAGCUCCUCUUUCAGGCCCUGCAGAGGCAACAAGACGCACCUCCACCACCACCACCCGCAUCUUGCCCAUCAGAAGAC